Molecule: long non-coding RNA, 2396 nt
Organism: Carassius gibelio (silver crucian carp)
Lineage: Eukaryota; Metazoa; Chordata; Actinopteri; Cypriniformes; Cyprinidae
Exons: 3
Source: RefSeq, a predicted model, not a curated record
CACCUUUUAACAAAAACUCAAGAUAUUCACAACUAAACAUCACACAAGUCUUUAGAUUAGACUGACCACAAAAAAGACAUUGAUUUCAUAAAAUUUCUAGGAGUAGUUUGUCGCAGUGUAAAAUAUGUAACUUCCUGUUGCCAAUAGGUGGCGCUAUGACUAUAACUGAAUAUUGGCAUGUAGAUCUGUUCAGGUCAAGAGUCUUAUCCAACAUGUGAAGUUUGGGGCAGAUUGGACAUUGUAUGUCUGAGUUACAGCAACUUCCUUUUUCAUGGCGAAACAUCGAAAUUUUUCAGGCCGCCAUGGACCCGCCCUUUAACGAAACCUCAAGUCCUUCGCAAUUUAUUAUCGCAAAGGGCUUUAGAUUACACUGACCAAGUUUGAUGUUGAUCUGAAUAAAUCUCUAGGAGGAGUUCGUUAAAGUACAACCCCUGAAAAUGGCAAAAACAACAGCAAUUUUGAAGGGAAAAUUCAAAAUAACCGACUUCCUGUUGGGAUCCGGAUUUCGUACCAAGAGACUUUGUUGUAGGUAUUGGAGUGUUACAUGUGUGUACCAAUUUUUGUACAUGUACGUGAAACAUAGCUCGAGGCGCACUCCGUUGAAAGUGUAUAGGUGGCGCUAUAGAGCCAUUCUGCCACACCCGGUGGAAUAUUGGCCUGAAGAUCUGUUCAGGCCAGGACUCUUAUCACACAUGUGAAGUUUGGGGAAGAUCGGACAUCUUAUGCCUGAGUUAUAACAUCUUUUAUUCACAUGGCGAGACAUCGAACUUCGUCGCGGCGCCAUGAACAAGCCUUUUAACGAAAACUCAAGAUCUUCACAACUGAACAUCGCACAGGCCUUUAGAUUAGACUGACCACAAAAAAGACAUUGAUGUCAUAAAAUUUCUAGGAGUAGUUCAUCGCAGCAUAAAAUAUGUCACUUCCUGUUGCCAAUAGGUGGCGCUAUGACUAUAACUGAAUAUGGGCAUGUCAAUCUGUUCAGGUUCGGAGUCUCAUCAAACAUGUGAAGUUUGGGGCAGAUUGGACAUUGUAUGUGUGAGUUAUAGCAACUUCAUUUUUCAUGGCGAAUCAUCGAAAUUCGCCAGGCCGCCACGGACACGCCCUUCAACGAAAACUCAAGAUCUUCGCAAUUUAACAUCGCAAAGGCCUUUAGAUUAGGCAUACCAAAUUUGGUGUUGAUUUGAAGAACUCUCUAGGAGGAGUUCGUUAAAAUACAACACAUGGAAAUGACCAAAAUUACACAAAAUAUGCUCAUAAUAUUAAAAAUAACCGACUUCCUGUUGGGUUUAGAAUUUCGCUCCAAGAGUCUUUUUUGUAGGUAUUGGUGUGUUACAUAUGUGUGCCAAUUUUCAUGCAUGUACGUGAAACAUAGCUGGAAGGCUGUUGAUUUUCUUGGUAUAGGUGGCGCUGUCGAGCCAUUUUGCCACACCCUCUUCUGAAUCCUAUAUUAGACGAAAAUUUUCACCAGGUUUGACGCGUGUGCAAAGUUUCAUGACUUUUUGAGCAUGUUAAAGCCCUCAAAAAUGCGAUUCAUUCGGGAGAAGAAGAAGAAGAAGAAUAAUAAUAAAUAUAGCUGCAAGCAGCGAUGGCGGGCUCAAGCCACCAAUGCCAUCGCCACCCCGGUGGCAUCAGGUAAACUGUGCCCAGCGGGCACAUGCAUUCACAAUAUCCCUCUGGCAGUGAGGUUUUAAAGGAUAUGGCAGUUAAAGGGUUAAUCCGAAUCAUCUAGACUUUAAAAUCACAUUCACAGAACAAUAUAUAUAUAAUAUAUAUAUAUAUAUAUUUAGUAACACUUUACAAUAAGAUUUCAUUUAUAAACAUUAUGUUAACAUGUACAAUAUUUAUAUAGCAUUCAUUCAUGUCAGUUAAUAUUCCAAACUUAAACAUUAAAACAUUGUUUUGUGAUUUUUUUCCAAGCACAUUUUACCAAUUCCAAACCAUAUCAAUCUUAAUAACUACCAUUAUUUUUUAUUUAAUCAUUUAUGAGUGUUAUACAAUAGUCCAGGAAAGCUGGAAGAGAAAAACUCCUUAUAUUCAUGUGCAGAAUUAUUAGGCAUGUUUUCUUUUACAGAUGAAAUGCACUAAAAAAGAGUUUUAACUCAAACUAUUUUAACUCAAAGUCGAAAAUUAUGAAAUACCCAUGAGAAAUAUCAAACACAAAUGCAAUACAGAAAUGGAUAAGUUAAGACUUGACCAUUGUACAAAAAUGCUGACUGGGUCAUGAGGUCAGAAAAGAAGAAGAAAAAAAAAAACAGGUCAAGAAGAACUGACAAAAAUAAUUGCAAAAUAAUUAGGAAUUAAUGUGAAGAUUAAUUUUUAGUCAAUUCUGCAAGACAGACUUUCAGGAAAGGAGGUGGAAUAAAAAUGAGCUCCUAAAUCUUAAUCCCGGAUUCUGG